UUGACAAACUAGAAUUAUUUGAAUUCCGUGUGGAAAGAGGUCGGGUUAAUUUUGAGUGUUAUCUGCAAUCUAGAUGUUUAUAAAUCAUUUCAGUCGUUGAUAUAAUAAUUAAAGGUCGACUGAACAUGAAUUAUAUUAUACAAUUUAAGGCGCAUUUCUGUUUAUGCACGUGAACCCAUCUAACGUUAUUGAUUGUUAUUUCGCAGUUAUAUAAAGUAGCAAAUUAUCGUUCCUGAAUAUGUGGCGCCGUGGUAGCCGAUCCUGUUCUUAAACUUCCGGUUUCUGCACUGUGCAACUAUACAGUUGCAUUUUUAAUUAACGAUGCCAAGUACUUGUUGUUGUGUACCUGGAUGUCAUUUAAGAGGAGGACAUGCAUUUCCAAAUGACUUAAAAAGUAGGUAAAGUUGGAUCAACGCCAUGGCCCAUACGCAGAUUGGACGAGAACACGACGAAAUCGUGGAGUCCAUCUCAAUCAGCUGUUGUUUGCAAGGCACAUUUUACUGAAAAAGACUACGUGCAGGAAACUAUUCAUGGGCACAAACCCACCAUACAGAGACUUAAUUCUACUGCCAUUCCCAGCCUAUUUUCCUGGACCAAGCAAGAGACUGAAUCGUCCGCAAAAAGAAAAAUCAAAUUAAAGUUUCCUACAACUUGGAUUAUUAUUGACAGCACAGAAUAUCCCGUGAUAAAACCUAAAGCUCCUAGAGCUCAGGCAACCUUUUCAUCAUAUAAAAACAGAAACACUGAAAAUACUUGUAUGUUCGACACCUGGUGGUUUAGUCAUCUAUGUCUCUAAUGCAUAUGUUGGUUGUACCAGUGACUGUGAAAUAGUUGAAAGAUGUAGAAUAGUUCAAUUAUGUGAUCCAGGUGACAGUGUGAUGGCAGACAAAGGUUUAAAUGUGCAAGAUUUGUUUGCUCACUUUUUUCAAAAAAAGAAACAGAAUUAGUUCCAAAACUCAUAUACGGGAUCCAAUUAACACGUGCACAUAGAGCUAAUUAUUGGACUUGGCAAAACAUACAAAAUUCUAAUAAAUCCUAUGAAUGGAACUGAAACAAAACUUUCAUCUGCAAUAACAUUUAGUUGUUUUAUGUUGUGUAAUUUUAGAACUUGUAUUGUGCCAACAUGACAUGGCCAAAGGAUGCAUAAAUAAAAGUGACGCAAUGAA
Molecule: long non-coding RNA, 1166 nt
Organism: Mytilus californianus (California mussel)
Lineage: Eukaryota; Metazoa; Mollusca; Bivalvia; Mytilida; Mytilidae
Exons: 2
Source: RefSeq, a predicted model, not a curated record